GAAUAAAGUCAGGUCACGGAGCCAGCAGCGGCAACCCGCUGGGGUCUCCGUUUCAGGCUGUGGAAGCUUUGUUGUUUCAGUCUUUGCAAUAAAUCUUGCUGCUGUUCACCCUUUGGGUUUGUGCGGCUUUUAUGAGCUGUAACACUCCCCGAGAAGGUCUGCAGUUCCACUCCUGAAGCCAGCGAGACUGGGAACCCACUGGGAGGGAGGAACAACUCCAGACGGGAGACACGAACAACUCUGGACGCGCCAUCUUUAUGAACCGUAAAAGUCACUGCGAGGGUCUGCGGCUUCAUUCUUGAAGUCAGCGAGACCAAGAACCCACCAAUUCCGGACACGAUCUGACUUAUCCUUGUAUGUGCUAAACUCAGUCUCUACCCACAAGUGGAUUUGUAACUGGUUAAUCUGUCCAUUGGGAAUGUUUACUGUGGGCCUACCAUGUACCAGGGACUACACCAUGCUAGGAAGACCUGCAUAGAGUUUACAGCUGGUCCUAGGCGAUGCUGAUGCUGCAGGCCCAAGGAUCACACCUGGAGAAGCAUGGACACCUUGUUGUAAACAGAAGAUCUACUGCUGACCACAAGCUAGCAGCCAUGAGCUAUGGCUGAUGUAAGGAAGGACACAGAAGAACAGACCAGCCAGGUUCAUCAGACGCAUUUCUAAGA
Molecule: long non-coding RNA, 665 nt
Filed under: Homo sapiens (human)
Lineage: Eukaryota; Metazoa; Chordata; Mammalia; Primates; Hominidae
Description: HSALNT0121320
Source: RNAcentral